GACGAACGCUGGCGGCGUGCUUAACACAUGCAAGUCGAACGGAAAGGCCCUGCUUUUGUGGGGUGCUCGAGUGGCGAACGGGUGAGUAACACGUGAGUAACCUGCCCUUGACUUUGGGAUAACUUCAGGAAACUGGGGCUAAUACCGGAUAGGAGCUCCUGCUGCAUGGUGGGGGUUGGAAAGUUUCGGCGGUUGGGGAUGGACUCGCGGCUUAUCAGCUUGUUGGUGGGGUAGUGGCUUACCAAGGCUUUGACGGGUAGCCGGCCUGAGAGGGUGACCGGCCACAUGGGGACUGGUAUGGGGCCGGGACUCGGAGGGGAGGCAGCAGGGGGGAAUAGUGCACAGGGGGCGGGAGCCGUAUGCAGCAACGCCGGGUGCGGGAGGAGGGCCUGGGGGUUGGAACCCGCUUUCGCCUGUGACGAAGCGGGAGUGAGGGUAGUGGGUAAAGAGGCACCGGCAAACUACGUG
RNAcentral lists this ribosomal RNA (468 nucleotides) under uncultured bacterium. Its description in RNAcentral is "partial 16S ribosomal RNA". It matches the Rfam family "Bacterial small subunit ribosomal RNA", at positions 28 to 507 of the family's 1533-position model. The record is from RNAcentral.